UAGUUCCUAUAUUUAUAUUAGCUGAAUCUUGUAAUGCAUUCGUAAAUUGUGUUCAUUUAUUAGAGACAAAAAGAAGGAAGACAAAGAAAAGAAACGUUCCAAAACACCACCAAAAAGCUAUAGCACAGCCAGACGUUCCAGAAGUGCAAGCAGAGAGAGACGACGACGACGAAGUAGGAGUGGCACGAGAUCUCCUAAAAAGCCUAGGUCACCUAAAAGAAAAUUGUCUCGCUCACCAUCUCCUAGGAGGUAAGAACGUCAGUGCUGUGGGUCUAUGGAUUCUACACUUCAGAAGCUAUCAGUUUCUAUUUAAAAACUCUCCUAAGCUUUUUGUUCCUUUUCAAGAAUUAAAGUGCUCAUGCUGAUAUAUUCCCUUUCUGCUUGAGACUCUGUUGUUAUAAGAUGUGUCUAGGAUCGGGCAUUUUAGACCUGUAACCAAAUUACAGUCUUCUUGCCUGUGUCACUAGUGCACAACUUGUAGCUGGCGUUUUGAAAUGGGUCUUUGUUGUUCUUCAUGUCAUGUAAACUUGGGUCAAGCUCACUGUCUGAAGAAAUUUAAACUUACUGCUACACUUAAGGGUGAAACUUCUUGAGUGGUUCCUUUAAAGCAUUUUUUUUUUUUUGAGAAUAUUUUACUGUCAUCCUAGACAUAAAAAGGAGAAGAAGAAAGAUAAAGACAAAGAAAGAAGCAGAGAUGAAAGAGAACGAUCAACAAGCAAGAAGAAGAAAAGUAAAGAUAAGGAAAAAGAUCGGGAAAGAAAAUCAGAGAGUGACAAAGAUGUAAAAGUAUGUUUACAAACUAAUUUACUUUGAUAUUUGGGGUAGUGCUUGUAAUCUAAGAAGUGAUUUUUUGGGGAAGACGUUUACUUUCUUUAUUCUCCUUGGCAAAGCAGGUUACACGGGAUUACGAUGAAGAGGAACAAGGGUAUGACAGCGAGAAAGAGAAAAAAGAGGAGAAGAAGCCAACAGAAGCAAGUUCCCCUAAAGCAAAAGAAUGCUCUGUGGAAAAGGGAACUGGUGAUUCACUAAGAGAAUCCAAAGUGAAUGGGGACGACCAUCAUGAAGAGGACAUGGAUAUGAGUGACUGAGCAUUGCCUCCGUGGGAAUCCAACUGUAUACAUGCAUCAGUGUCAUUCCUUUGUGUGAUUUCUUAAUGCUGUAUUUGUUCAUCUCAAACCUAGAUGUGUACAGCUCUGAGUUAUAAAUGGUUAUAAAGCUCCUGAUAUUGAUAUUAGUUAUUUACAUCCAAAAGCUUUUUAGAAAAUGAUAUGUGAGUAACCAAUUCUUGACAUGGUGAAAUCCGAUUGAGUAACCAAGCAGUUUUACUAUUCUGGUGCUGCUUCAUAACGAAAAUGAAAAGCUGCAUGCAUCUACAGCAGGCAUGGAUUGUUUAUGUUGUAUGAUCUCCUUUAUUAAGUAAGUUCACUUAUAGUAUUUCUAGAAUUUGAUUCAUUGCCGUAAUAGAGCCAUGUAGGGAAUGCACUGAUUGCAUGUUAAUCGUGGCAGGAAUAUCCUAAAUGUCAUUAAAAUCCUCCAACAUGAUAGAUCUACUUAUGGUCUUAUUUGUUGACAUGACAGAUUAACAUUCUUAUAGUUACAUCUGAAAAUGAACAUUUGAAAUAGAUAAUCCUUUAAGCCUUGUGGCUAAAUUUUUGUGGCUUUUGUUUAACUUUGAAAGGUUAUAUAUGCACUAACCUUUUUUGAUGGCUGAUUAGGCUUUAAUUACAGAAACAAGAUUUCAAAUGAAACUGUCUCUGGCAGUGAGUAAAUAGCAUAUUUUGAAGUAGAGUUGUAUACUUUUUCAUAAGGUGUUUGGGAAUUUUUUUUCCUGAAAUAAUUUAUUCCACGUCUACAUCAGUGAAAGCUGCCUAUCCUGAGUCCAUCUGUAAAAACAAGUUCUCUCUCGUCCUGAUCUUCAAUUUCCCACUCUUUUAUUAAUUUGUUUUAAUCUCAGUGUUGGAAAAGGGGGUAGUGCAUUUUAAAUUGACCUUCAUAUGCUUUUAAAAUAAGACAAAUCUACUUGAUAAUGUACUUUUUAUUUGAUCUCAAGUUGUAUAAAACCAAUAAAUUUGUGUUACUGUUACUGCA
Ursus americanus (American black bear) is the source of this 2088-nucleotide long non-coding RNA. The record is from Ensembl. NCBI's taxonomy places the organism in Eukaryota, Metazoa, Chordata, Mammalia, Carnivora, Ursidae.